This 227-nucleotide ribosomal RNA is filed under the name uncultured bacterium. Its description in RNAcentral is "partial 16S ribosomal RNA". It matches the Rfam family "Bacterial small subunit ribosomal RNA", at positions 524 to 745 of the family's 1533-position model. The record is from RNAcentral.
CACGUAGGGUGCGAGCGUUGUCCGGAAUUAUUGGGCGUAAAGAGCUCGUAGGCGGUGUGUCGCGUCGGCCGUGAAAACCUGCAGCUUAACUGUGGGCGUGCGGUCGAUACGGGCAUCACUGGAGUUCGGCAGGGGGAGACUGGAAUUCCUGGUGUAGCGGUGAAAUGCGCAGAUAUCAGGAGGAACACCGGGUGGCGAAGGCGGGGUCUCUGGGGCAACAACUGACG